UACGGAGGGUGCGAGCGUUAAUCGGAAUUACUGGGCGUAAAGCGCAUGCAGGUGGUUCGUUAAGUCAGAUGUGAAAGCCCGGGGCUCAACCUCGGAAUUGCAUUUGAAACUGGCGGACUAGAGUACUGUAGAGGGGGGUAGAAUUUCAGGUGUAGCGGUGAAAUGCGUAGAGAUCUGAAGGAAUACCGGUGGCGAAGGCGGCCCCCUGGACAGAUACUGACACUCAGAUGCGAAAGCGUGGGGAGCAAA
RNAcentral lists this ribosomal RNA (249 nucleotides) under uncultured Vibrio sp. RNAcentral describes it as "partial 16S ribosomal RNA". It matches the Rfam family "Bacterial small subunit ribosomal RNA", at positions 524 to 772 of the family's 1533-position model. Lineage: Bacteria; Pseudomonadati; Pseudomonadota; Gammaproteobacteria; Vibrionales; Vibrionaceae. The record is from RNAcentral.